RNAcentral lists this ribosomal RNA (468 nucleotides) under uncultured bacterium. RNAcentral's name for it is "partial 16S ribosomal RNA". It matches the Rfam family "Bacterial small subunit ribosomal RNA", at positions 28 to 507 of the family's 1533-position model. The record is from RNAcentral.
GACGAACGCUGGCGGCGUGCUUAACACAUGCAAGUCGAACGGAAAGGCCCUGCUUUUGUGGGGUGCUCGAGUGGCGAACGGGUGAGUAACACGUGAGUAACCUGCCCUUGACUUUGGGAUAACUUCAGGAAACUGGGGCUAAUACCGGAUAGUACCUCCUGCUGCAUGGUGGGGGUUGGAAAGUUUCGGCGGUUGGGGAUGGACGCGCGGCUUAUCAGCUUGUUGGUGGGGUAGUGGCUUACCAAGGCUUUGACGGGUAGCCGGCCUGAGAGGGUGACCGGCCACAUUGGGACUGAGAUACGGCCCAGACUCCUACGGGAGGCAGCAGUGGGGAAUAUUGCAGAAUGGGCGGAAGCCAGAUGAAGCAACGCCGCGUGCGGGAUGACGGCCUUCGGGUUGUAAACCGCUGUCGCCUGUGACGAAGCGUGAGUGACGGUAAUGGGUAAAGAAGCACCGGCUAACUACGUG